AUUGCUUCUGGGCCUUUUGGCUAAGAUCAAGUGUAAAAGUUUUUUUUUUAAAAAAAAAAACCUCUUGGCUUAGUUUAAUCCUAUUAUUAGGUCAUAGAGAACAAAA
This 106-nucleotide small nuclear RNA is filed under the name Fukomys damarensis (Damara mole-rat). Its description in RNAcentral is "U2 spliceosomal RNA". It matches the Rfam family "U2 spliceosomal RNA". From Rfam's summary of the family: U2 is a small nuclear RNA (snRNA) component of the spliceosome (involved in pre-mRNA splicing). Complementary binding between U2 snRNA (in an area lying towards the 5' end but 3' to hairpin I) and the branchpoint sequence (BPS) of the intron results the bulging out of an unpaired adenosine, on the BPS, which initiates a nucleophilic attack at the intronic 5' splice site, thus starting the first of two transesterification reactions that mediate splicing. The record is from Rfam by way of RNAcentral. Lineage: Eukaryota; Metazoa; Chordata; Mammalia; Rodentia; Bathyergidae.